CGGUUUUCCUAAAUCGUCGUGAGACGGACCUUGGAAAACCUAGUAUUUAAAUAACUAGGUC
The sequence is a regulatory RNA element, 61 nucleotides long. It matches the Rfam family "3'-terminal pseudoknot in SPCSV". The record is from Rfam.